GGGGAAUUUUCCGCAAUGGGCGCAAGCCUGACGGAGCAACGCCGCGUGAGGGAUGAAGGCCUCUGGGCUGUAAACCUCUUUUCUCAAGGAAGAAGAUCUGACGGUACUUGAGGAAUAAGCCGCGGCUAAUUCCGUGCCAGCAGCCGCGGUAAUACGGGAGUGGCAAGCGUUAUCCGGAAUUAUUGGGCGUAAAGCGUCCGCAGGCGGCCUUGCAAGUCUGUUGUUAAAGCGUGGAGCUUAACUCCAUUUCAGCAAUGGAAACUACAAGGCUAGAGUGUGGUAGGGGCAGAGGGAAUUCCCGGUGUAGCGGUGAAAUGCGUAGAUAUCGGGAAGAACACCGGUGGCGAAGGCGCUCUGCUGGGCCAUAACUGACGCUCAUGGACGAAAGCCAGGGGAGCGAAAGGGAUUAGAUACCCCUGUAGUC
RNAcentral lists this ribosomal RNA (424 nucleotides) under uncultured cyanobacterium. RNAcentral's name for it is "bacterial SSU rRNA". It matches the Rfam family "Bacterial small subunit ribosomal RNA", at positions 356 to 795 of the family's 1533-position model. Lineage: Bacteria; Bacillati; Cyanobacteriota. The record is from RNAcentral.